CACGAGGCAACAGUGAUUCUCCUCGGCGCCGCUGCGAAGCAUUUGAAUAAGGAUGACCCCAAUGUCAAGUCUAUCAUGGAAAGUUUGGUCACUUCACUCAGCACCC
RNAcentral lists this small RNA (106 nucleotides) under Paraphysomonas imperforata. RNAcentral's name for it is "partial Betaproteobacteria transfer-messenger RNA". Lineage: Eukaryota; Chrysophyceae; Chromulinales; Paraphysomonadaceae. The record is from RNAcentral.